This is a long non-coding RNA of Rhipicephalus microplus (southern cattle tick), 421 nucleotides long. RefSeq lists it as uncharacterized. Lineage: Eukaryota; Metazoa; Arthropoda; Arachnida; Ixodida; Ixodidae. The record is from RefSeq and is a predicted model, not a curated record.
UUAGUCAUAAGAAGCCGAGUAACAAGACUACGAGCUUGUCGUCACGUGACCUUUUCACACUUGUCAACCCUCUUUUGCUGUGCGUGGACGCAUCGUUGUGUGCGGUACGUGCCAGACAUGAGGGCCAAGUGGCGCAAGAAGCGGAUGCGAAGGUUGAAGCGCAAGCGCAGGAAGAUGCGUGAGAGGUCCAAGUAAGCCGGAGCCAUGAGUGGCGGAGACAAAGCCUGGCUGGCACAGGAGGAAAGCCUGAAGAGGGUGUCCUCUACUCUGCCCGGACUGUAAUACCGCCACCUGGUCACUGCAUCGGACGGUGCCCUUGCACUUACAUGACGGACCCCAAGCUCUCGAUGUGCGCAAGGAGACACCUCUGGACAUUGGAUCAUCGUUUGUUCACCUCCAUUAAACGUUCAUCCCACAAUGA